This 434-nucleotide unclassified non-coding RNA is filed under the name Hevea brasiliensis (rubber tree). Lineage: Eukaryota; Viridiplantae; Streptophyta; Magnoliopsida; Malpighiales; Euphorbiaceae. The record is from RNAcentral.
GCAGCUGUUGCUGCACGCACUAGGUCAAGGUUCUUGCAAGCUUGGGCCUUGGAAAUACAGGGAAAGCAUUCUGAAGCUGUGGUGGAACUGUUCAAAAUAUGUGUCAUCCACCAGAUAUUUCCUCCUGAAGAGUUCUCGCCUGAGAUGGAGAUGGUGGCUCGUGGACUUGAGAAACACUUAAAAGUAGACCAAAGGGAGUCCCUGAUGAACAGUCUUCUACAAGUGUGUGGUGAUGAGACCAGGAGAAGUGUGGCUGAAGCUUUGGGUCUGAUGUACAUGAAGAGUAACAUUGCUCAUCAACAAGAAAACAAGUAUACAUAGAUCACUAAUUUAUGCGUACAGGAAUUGAUUUUUAAAGAUGAAUAAUGUUUUAUGCUCAAAAAGACAUUGGUGUACAAGUAGUACUGCCUGUAUGCAAUAACCUUACGAAAUGC